UUGUGGAGAGUUGUCUGGUUAGCAGUCGUGCAGCAUCUUCUUAUUUUCGUAAAUAUUGAACACACAUUGGAUCUAAUAGUGUCUUUACUCUUCCUAGAUAUAUAUACUACUUUCAAGAAGGGCUUAACAUUGGUUGGUCGUUUAAUAAAAACUACUUUGAACUUGUGAGAAUUGUUUAGAACUAUUCAACGUCUUCUUUCCUUUCUGUGGUGUCGGGGAAUAAAGUGUAUCAUCAUUAUGUCAUUUUUUUAUGCAAACUGUGUAAUCAAAUUCAUUG
This 277-nucleotide long non-coding RNA is filed under the name Mytilus galloprovincialis (Mediterranean mussel). The record is from RNAcentral. Lineage: Eukaryota; Metazoa; Mollusca; Bivalvia; Mytilida; Mytilidae.